AGGAAAUUUGAGAGGAGCUGUCCUUAGUACGAGAGGACCGGGAUGGACAUACCUCUGGUGUACCAGUUGUCGUGCCAACGGCAUAGCUGGGUAGCUAUGUGUGGACGGGAUAAGUGCUGAAAGCAUCUAAGCAUGAAGCCCCCCUCAAGAUGAGAUUUCCCAACUUCGGUUAUAAGAUCCCUCAAAGAUGAUGAGGUUAAUAGGUUCGAGGUGGAAGCAUGGUGACAUGUGGAGCUGACGAAUACUAAUCGAUUGAAGACUUAAUCAAAA
Molecule: ribosomal RNA, 270 nt
Filed under: Staphylococcus aureus
Lineage: Bacteria; Bacillati; Bacillota; Bacilli; Caryophanales; Staphylococcaceae
Description: partial 23S ribosomal RNA
Rfam family: Bacterial large subunit ribosomal RNA
Source: RNAcentral